UCCCCUCCCUGGCUGGCUUUCCUUGGGAUACUCUGUGGAGUCCUCCGCACUGCUGCUCACACCAGCCUCCCAUCAGCACAGCAGUAUGUGCAGAGUUAUGCCCCAACCUCCUAGUCACAGCCACACUGCACAGCACUGUAUAGCGGGCAGUCCACCCUGACCCCAAGAGCCAAGCAAAAGCCAGUGCCCCUUGCCACCCUCAUAUCCUAUCAACAGAGUGUGAAUCUAUACACAAGUCUGGGUCUUCUCCACCGCUCUCAUGGAUCAACAGUGAGACAAGAAGGCAUCACCCUAGCCCAGAGGCAAGAAACCGCCCGCCUUUGGUGUGUGUCUGCCUGAGAUCCUGCGUUGCUCACAGUCUGGGAGCUGCCAGUCCUGGGCCUGGGAAGGAGGGCAAGGCUGGUUUCCCAAUAAGGCAACUCCUUUCCCACUGGAAGGCACAGACAGCAGUGCUAGAAGGGCCAGGUGCAUGUUUCCUCGCUACAAAUUAGCCUUGUCCAAUGCAUACACUUACACUCAGGUCUCAGAGGUGAGCACAGAAAACAGACACCUGGUGACUCACCUGAGCUCUCUGCCCUCGCUGUAUCGUCUACUUGAGGCCCUCGGGGAGGCUGUCUCCAGGAGCAACUUCUGAGUGAGCCUGCUGGGGGGGGCACCAUCUCUGCCAUCAUCCUCUUCGACUGCGUCCUGGUCACAUUUCCACUCCUCAUCUUCAUUCAAAGUGGGCAGGGCUCAAGCUUCCUGAAGCCACUGCAGGCGAACCAGAAGUCCAGCAGGUCAGCACAGCCCUCCUGCUUCAGGAAAGUCCUGAACAGGCUUAUCCCAUCCUGGUCGUCCAGCAAGGAAUGCAGUGACUCGGCCCACCGCAAGUAUGGUGGGGUAGGAGAGGCACUGCCCUCAGGCUCGUACCCCAGAUCCAGAUCUGAGCGCCUCGGGGUGGCUGUUGAGGUCUCGCCUUUAAUGCUGACACCUUUCCCAGAGCAGAAACUGUGGCUGAUGGGCCUUGGGUCUGUGGACACCAGUUCUCCCUCCUCACCAGGCACUGGGGGCCGGGGGGCAUCUUCAGUGAAACUUGCUCCAAGGUCCAAGGGGAAACCCUGCUCCUGGACACUCAUUCUGGGACUCUGCGUCAAUGAACAACGAGCGCUGCACCCUAAUACAUCAGUACUUACGGCUCCAA
Non-coding RNA from Ictidomys tridecemlineatus (thirteen-lined ground squirrel), 1180 nucleotides. Lineage: Eukaryota; Metazoa; Chordata; Mammalia; Rodentia; Sciuridae. The record is from RefSeq and is a predicted model, not a curated record.